RNAcentral lists this ribosomal RNA (92 nucleotides) under Caerostris darwini. Lineage: Eukaryota; Metazoa; Arthropoda; Arachnida; Araneae; Araneidae. The record is from RNAcentral.
UAUACCGGUUCUCGUUAGAUCACCGAAGUCAAGCAUCAUUGGGCCCGGUCAGUACUUGGGUGGGUGACCACCUGGGAACACUGCGUGCCGUU